CCUACGGGUGGCUGCAGUGAGGAAUAUUGGUCAAUGGACGAGAGUCUGAACCAGCCAAGUCGCGUGAAGGAUGACGGCCCUAUGGGUUGUAAACUUCUUUUAUAGGGGAGUAAAAUUUUCCACGUGUGGCGUUCCGUAUGUACCCUAUGAAUACGGAUCGGCUAACUCCGUCCCAGCAGCCGCGGUAAUACGGAGGAUCCGAGCGUUAUCCGGUUUUAUUGGGUUUAAAGGGUGCGCAGGGGGAUGUUUAAGUCGGUGGUAAAAUUUUGCGGCUAAACCUUAGCCUGCAGUUGAAACUGGGAGUCUUGAGUGCAGGAGAGGUGGGCGGAAUUCGUGGUGUAGCGGUGAAAUGCUUAGAUAUCACGAAGAACUCCGAUUGCGAAGGCAGCUUACUGGAGUGCAACUGACGCUGAGGCUCGAAAGUGUGGGUAGCAAACAGGAUUAGAUACCCUGGUAGUC
Molecule: ribosomal RNA, 459 nt
Filed under: uncultured bacterium
Lineage: Bacteria
Description: partial 16S ribosomal RNA
Rfam family: Bacterial small subunit ribosomal RNA
Source: RNAcentral